This is a long non-coding RNA of Chrysolophus pictus (golden pheasant), 1742 nucleotides long. Lineage: Eukaryota; Metazoa; Chordata; Aves; Galliformes; Phasianidae. The record is from Ensembl.
GGCUCGGGAGGAUUUAGCAUUCUGUAAGUAAAAAUCAAUUGAUUUUUAGAUCAUGGGGCUGAGAGUUGAAAGCCAGUUGGGAUGGAUUUUGCUUAACUUCCCUAUUUAAAUAGAUCACGCUGUUUGAAUACUUAUGCUUGCCUUUUGAUUAGCUCACCCAUGUUGGCGAUUUGUAUGUCUGUAUCUCACGCCUUUGAAAAUAAGGAACCAGCAGGCAUGUGGGGCUGCAGAGAGGUGUUAGCCAACGUGUGAUGUACAGAGAGUUGUGCUGAAAGACCCAGGAACAAAAACCUGUGCUCACCAUGUGCCAGGGGACAUUUUGACCUUCUUUCAGGCCCUCCUUUCACCUGUGGUCUGUGUCUUCUGUGCCACCAGCAGCUCCCCUGUGCCGUUAUCUUGCAGUAGAGCUGCAUGCUGCUCUAACAGCUGAGCUGCAAAGGGCAAGGUCACCUCUGCUACGUGCAAAGCCAAUUAAGGCUUAAAGAACACUAAACUCAGAUUUCCUCAAGUCGUUUCGUUUUAUUGAUCAGACACGUUUUUAUUUCCAGAUUGCUCGCUCUUGGGAACCAUCCAGGCUUCCUGGUGCAAAGGACUGUGUAAAAUGUACUGAAUCAGCACUCCCAGUGUGUCUGUCUGUGGGUUUUGUUAACCUUGCAGGCUCUGUUUAAGAUGCAAGACACAGCUUGAAGAGCACCAUCAUGUAUCCAGUGCUCUUCUGAAAGAUGUCUCCAAUUUGCAUUUCCCUCUUGUCCUCUUCAAAAUCAAAGCACUUCCUUCUCCCCUUUCUUUGUUUAAUCCUAGGAUUUUCCUGGAAAGAAGAUUCCCAGCACAUAAGAGAGUGUACAGAGCAUGUUCUGAGUCUUCUUCAAAAAAAUUCCAUGCUGGCUGCACAAAAGCUCAGCGCUGAGAUGUACCUACUGCCUUGUGGGAUAAAUCAAACCAACUCAGCGCCGUCGCUUCCUGUAAGCAUUACAGCCCCAGAGAAAUGCCUCGUCGUUAUGAAGGAUGACACCCUCUGCCUCUCCCACACCAAACUCCAGAUGCAGUGCUUUGCCAAAGAGCCAAAAAGCCCAAGUGCUGAGCUGAACAGAAAGGGAUGGGUGUGGAUGACUCACCCCGAAAUGGAAGACUCCCAUCAAACCAUGACACAGUGCAGGAUGGACUGAGCAAGUCGGAGGUUGUGUUUGUCGUAGAAUCAUUAAGGCUGGGAAAGACCUCCAAGAGCACCAAGCCCAACUCACCCCACUGUUCCCAUCACCACAUCCCUCAGUGCCACAUCCCCACAGUUCUGGGGCACAUCCAUGGAUGGUGACGCCACUACUCCCAGUAUCCAACCUGAACCUAUGCUGGCACUUCAGGCCAUUCCUCUUGUCCUGUUGCUUCUCACCUCCAACCUGGAUAAAAAACCAAUGGUCUCACUACCCAUUACCAUUUUGGAUAGUCCUGUGUGGAGCCAGGAGUUGGACUUGAUGAUCCUCACGGGCCCCUUCCAGCUCAGGAUAUUCUAUGGUUCUAUGAUUCUACCCUGUGGAGAUUAAGGUGCUUCCUAAGUAACAAGGCAUCACUCUGCCUGAGCAAAGAGGAAGACAACAGAAAGUUUCAGCUACAGGAAUGAUCAUAGCCACCGUUUCCAAAUCAUGGCUGAAGGAGUUUAAAAUAACAACAAAGAAUAGAAACCUACUUUUGAGAGAUAAAGUAAGUUUCUCUAUAGCACUAACAGACAUGAAAUUGUAAUUUUCUUC